AUUGAACGCUGGCGGCAGGCCUAACACAUGCAAGUCGAGCGGAUGAAGGGAGCUUGCUCCUGGAUUCAGCGGCGGACGGGUGAGUAAUGCCUAGGAAUCUGCCUGGCAGUGGGGGAUAACGUCCGGAAACGGGCGCUAAUACCGCAUACGUCCUGAGGGAGAAAGUGGGGGAUCUUCGGACCUCACGCUAUCAGAUGAGCCUAGGUCGGAUUAGCUAGUUGGUGGGGUAAGGGCCUACCAAGGCGACGAUCCGUAACUGGCCUGAGAGGAUGAUCAGUCACACUGGAGCUGGGCCACGGUCCUGGCUCCUGCGGGAGGCAGCAGUGGGGUAUAUUGGACAAUGGGCGAAAGCCUGGUCCAGCCGUGCCGCGUGUGUGGAGACGGUCUUCGGAUUGUAAAGCACUUUAAGUUGGGAGGAAGGGCAGUAAGUUAAUACCUUGCUGUUUUGACGUUACCAACAGAAUAAGCACCGGCUAACUUCGUG
This 484-nucleotide ribosomal RNA is filed under the name uncultured bacterium. RNAcentral's name for it is "partial 16S ribosomal RNA". It matches the Rfam family "Bacterial small subunit ribosomal RNA", at positions 30 to 507 of the family's 1533-position model. The record is from RNAcentral.